RNAcentral lists this long non-coding RNA (210 nucleotides) under Elaeis guineensis (African oil palm). Its description in RNAcentral is "long non-coding RNA (EGUI_LNC035513)". Lineage: Eukaryota; Viridiplantae; Streptophyta; Magnoliopsida; Arecales; Arecaceae. The record is from RNAcentral.
UUCUAGAUAUAUCACUUCCUAAGAGCAUGUCUAAUCGUCUUCAAAUUGUCCACCCACCUAGCUGCCAAGGAAGAGAACCCUCUAAUUGCUUUUUCCAAUUGGUAAGCACACCAUCUUCCAAGUCUGGCUCUUUAAGCCAUCAUAAUUCAAAUCUAAAAAUUUUAUGGGCAUCAAACUUUACUUUGCAAUCUAAUGCCAUCAGAACAUGAC